GCUAGAUUGAUGGCGAGUGGCGAACGGGUGAGUAAUACAUCGGAACGUGCCCUGUAGUGGGGGAUAACUAGUCGAAAGAUUAGCUAAUACCGCAUACGACCUGAGGGUGAAAGUGGGGGACCGCAAGGCCUCAUGCUAUAGGAGCGGCCGAUGUCUGAUUAGCUAGUUGGUGAGGUAAAGGCUCACCAAGGCGACGAUCAGUAGCUGGUCUGAGAGGACGAUCAGCCACACUGGGACUGAGACACGGCCCAGACUCCUACGGGAGGCAGCAGUGGGGAAUUUUGGACAAUGGGGGCAACCCUGAUCCAGCAAUGCCGCGUGUGUGAAGAAGGCCUUCGGGUUGUAAAGCACUUUUGUCCGGAAAGAAAUCGCACUUACUAAUAUUAGGUGUGGAUGACGGUACCGGAAGAAUAAGGACCGGCUAACUACGUGCCAGCAGCCGCGGUAAUACGUAGGGUCCAAGCGUUAAUCGGAAUUACUGGGCGUAAAGCGUGCGCAGGCGGUUGUGCAAGACCGAUGUGAAAUCCCCGGGCUUAACCUGGGAAUUGCAUUGGUGACUGCACGGCUAGAGUGUGUCAGAGGGGGGUAGAAUUCCACGUGUAGCAGUGAAAUGCGUAGAGAUGUGGAGGAAUACCGAUGGCGAAGGCAGCCCCCUGGGAUAACACUGACGCUCAUGCACGAAAGCGUGGGGAGCAAACAGGAUUAGAUACCCUGGUAGUCCACGCCCUAAACGAUGUCAACUAGUUGUUGGGGAUUCAUUUCCUUAGUAACGUAGCUAACGCGUGAAAUUGACCGCCUGGGGAGUACGGUCGCAAGAUUAAAACUCAAAGGAAUUGACGGGGACCCGCACAAGCGGUGGAUGAUGUGGAUUAAUUCGAUGCAACGCGAAAAACCUUACCUACCCUUGACAUGCCACUAACGAAGCAGAGAUGCAUUAGGUGCUCGAAAGAGAAAGUGGACACAGGUGCUGCAUGGCUGUCGUCAGCUCGUGUCGUGAGAUGUUGGGUUAAGUCCCGCAACGAGCGCAACCCUUGUCUCUAGUUGCUACGAAAGGGCACUCUAGAGAGACUGCCGGUGACAAACCGGAGGAAGGUGGGGAUGACGUCAAGUCCUCAUGGCCCUUAUGGGUAGGGCUUCACACGUCAUACAAUGGUGCAUACAGAGGGUUGCCAAGCCGCGAGGUGGAGCUAAUCCCAGAAAAUGCAUCGUAGUCCGGAUCGUAGUCUGCAACUCGACUACGGAAGCUGGAACCGCUGUAAUCGCGGAUCA
RNAcentral lists this ribosomal RNA (1269 nucleotides) under uncultured Ralstonia sp. RNAcentral describes it as "bacterial SSU rRNA". It matches the Rfam family "Bacterial small subunit ribosomal RNA", at positions 79 to 1351 of the family's 1533-position model. The record is from RNAcentral. Lineage: Bacteria; Pseudomonadati; Pseudomonadota; Betaproteobacteria; Burkholderiales; Burkholderiaceae.